UUUAGGGCCACACCCAUGGCAUAUGGAGGUUCCCAGGCUGGGGUCCAAUUGGAGCUAUAGCUACCAGCCUACACCACAGCCACAGCAACACCAGAUCUGAGACGCAUCUGUGACCUACACCACAGCUCAUGGCAACGCUGGAUCCUUAACCCACUGAGCAAGGCCAGGGAUUGAACCUGCAUCCUCAUGGAUUUGUUACUGCUGAACCACAAUUAAGUAAGUUUUGUUUUAUCCUUUAUUAUAAUUUUUUCUGGUUUUCUAAAGUGAAUUUCUUAUUUCUGUAAUUAGAAGCAGGGUCUUCUAAUUAAUAUUAUUGUGGGAAAUGCAGAGAGCCCCUGCGGCUGCAGCAAGAGUGUGUCUGGCGGUGGUGAGUGCGUCUGUGGUCCAGGUUGGCAAGGCCCAGCCAUUGGCUGGGCCAGGAAACACCUUAAGAAAGUUACCCAGACAGAGAGCUUGAUCAGAGUAUUGGUGUUGAUUGUGAAAAGGAGGCUUUUAUUAAAUUUUGUACUGAGAUUAAAUUCACACACCAUAUUUUAGAUAUUAGUUACCUCUCCAAGACACCAUGCGUUGCUAAUCCCUCAUCGUAGUCAGAGCUCCACCACUUCAGGGGCAGAGGGCAGUAGAUGGCCUAUAGUUUCAUUUCGUUACUAAGUGUCUGUGCAUGGAGGCUCAUGGCCCUUUUGACCAGGCUCAGCUCCUAGAACUUUGGACAGAGGAGCCCUGAGAAAGAGCCAGAGCCAUUUCUGGGCCCCAGUGUUAGCAACGUGCACAUGCACGGAGGCUGUGGAUUCUGCGCAGGGAGCCCUCCCUGUAAGACCCUCUAACACCAAGGUUCCGAUGGGCGCGCCAUGUGUGCUCUUUGAUAGCUUCUCUCUGCUUGUUCCCCUUAUAAACAGCACCCCUUUGCCCUCCACUUGCAUGUGAGAUAUUCAGGUUCUGUCCUCCACCUUGGUGGUCCCCUAAGCCUAUGGUCAUGUUAGUGUGGAGCUUUCAUGCACAGGGCUUGCCCUCAGACUGAAGGGUAAGGUCCUUCUCCGAGUAAGGGUGGUCUGGUGAUAGCCAGUUCUAACUCACUCUGCUUUGUUGUUUUUUUGGCCACGCCUACAGCAUGUGGAAGUUCCCAGGCCUGGGAUCGAACCAACCAUAGCAGUGACAAUGCCGGAUCCUCAACCAGCUGAGCCACCAGGGAACUCCUCACUCACUCUGGUUUUAAAUCAGUUGUGGGUUAGGACAAGGUAGCUUCUUCUAAACCACUGUGAAAGUGGAGUUACAGUUGUGGCUCAGCAGUUAACGAACCUGACUGGCAUCUAUGCGGAUGCAGGUUCGAUCCCUGGCCUCACUCAGUGGGUUAAGGAUCUGGUGUUGCUGUGGGCUGUGGUAUAGGUUGUAGACACGGCUACAAUCCUGUGUUGCUGUGGCCCUGGCACAGGCUGGCAGCUACAGCUCCAAUUGGAACC
This 1457-nucleotide long non-coding RNA is filed under the name Sus scrofa (pig). Its description in RNAcentral is "lncRNA (ENSSSCG00070015455.1)". Lineage: Eukaryota; Metazoa; Chordata; Mammalia; Artiodactyla; Suidae. The record is from RNAcentral.